GCUGGUCAUUUAUGAACAUUUUAACAUCUUGACCAUGUUCUGUUAUAAUAUCCACCCUGCACAGCCAGAAGAGGACUGGCCACCCCUCAUAGCCUGGUUCCUCUCUAGGUUUCUUCCUAGGUUUUUGGCCUUUCUAGGGAGUUUUUCCUAGGGAGUUUUUCCUAGCCACCGUGCUUCUUUCACAUGCAUUGCUUGCUGUUUGGGGUUUUAGGCUGGGUUUCUGUACAGCACUUUGAGAUAUCAGCUGAUGUACGAAGGGCUAUAUAAAUACAUUUGAUUUGAUUUGAUUUGAAGUGUAAAGGAAUGAAUAAGAAUAUUUACAUCAAAAUAUAUGAAUGAGCGAUGGCCGAACGGCAUAGGCAAGAUGCAGUAGAUGGUAUAGAGUACAGUAUAUACAUAUGAGAUGAGUAAUGUAGGGUAUGUAAACAUUAUAUAAAGUGGCAUUGUUUAAAGUGGCUAGUGAUACAUUUAUUACAUCAAUUUAUCAUUAUUAAAGUGGCUAGAGAUGAGUCAGUAUGAUGGCAGCAGCCACUCAAUGUUAGUGAUGGCUGUUAGUGAUGGCUGUCUGAUGGCCUUGAGAUAGAAGCUGUUUUUCAGUCUCAUUCAAGCUGUUUUUCAGUGCCCCAUUCAAAAAAUGUAGAACCAGGAACAGAUAUAGCCCUUGGUUCACUCCAGACCUGACUGCCCUUGACCAGCACAAAAACUAGCCUGCAUUAGCAUUGAAUAGCCCCCGCGAUAUGCAACUUUUCAGGGAAGUUAGGAACCAAUGUACACAGGCAGUUAGGAAGGCAAAAGCUAUCUUUUUCAAACAGAAAUUUGCAUCCGUAGCACAAACUCCAAAAAGUUCUGGGACACUGUAAAGUCCAUGGAGAAUAAGAGCACCUCCUCCCAGCUGCCCGCUGCACUGAGGCUAGGAAACACUGUCACCACCGAUAAAUCUAUGAUUAUCGAGAAUUUCAAUAAGCAUUUUUCUACAGCUGGCCUUGCUUUCCACCUGGCUACCCCUACCUCGGUCAACAGCUCUGCACCCCCCACAGAAACUUGCCCAAGCCUCCCCCAUUUCUCCUUCACCCAAAUCCAGAUAGCUGAUGUUCUGAAAGAGCUGCAAAAUCUGGACCCCUACGAAUCUAAAAUUAUCUGCCGCACUUGUUGCUAUUACUAGCCUGUUCAACCUUUCUUUCGUAUCGUCUGAGAUCCCCAAAGAUUGGAAAGCUGCCGCGGUCAUCCCCCUCUUCAAAUGGGGAGACAUCUAGACCCAAACUGUUACAGACCUAUAUCUAUCCUACCAUGCCUUUCUAAGGUCUUCGAAAGCCAGCCAAGUUAACAAACAGAUCACGAAUCCCACCGUACCUUCUCCGCUAUGCAAUCUGGUUUCAGAGCUGGUCAUGGGUGCACCUCAGCCACGCUCAAGGUCCUAAACGAUAUCAUAAUCGCCAUCGACAAAAGACAAUACUGUGCAGCCAUAUCCAUCGACCUGGCCAAGGCUUUCGACUCUGUCAAUCACCCAUUCUUAUCGUCAGAUUCAACAGCCUUUGUUUCUCAAAUGACUGCCUCGCCUGGUUCACCAACUACUUCUCAGAUAGAGUUCAGUGUGUCAAAUGGGAGGGCCUGUUGUCCGGACCUCUGGCAGUCUCUAUGGGGGUGCCACAGGGUUCAAUUCUCGGGCCGACUCUUUUCUCUGUAUACGUCAAUGAUGUUGGUCUUGCGGCUGGUGAUUCUCUGAUUCACCUCUAUGUAGACGACACCAUUCUGGCCCUUCUUUGGACACUGUGUUAACUAACCUCCAGACAAGCUUCAAUGCCAUACAACUUUCCUUCCGUGGCCUCCAACUGCUCUUAAAUGCAAGUAAAACUAAAUGCAUGCUCUUCAAUCGAUUGCUGCCCGCAUCUGCCCACCCGCCUAGAAUCACUACUUUGGACGGUUCUAACUUAGAAUAUGUGGACAACUACAAAUACCUCGGUGUCUGGUUAGACUGUAAACUCUCCUUCCAGACUCAUAUUAAGCAUCUCCAAUCCCAAAAUACAUCUAGAAUCGGCUUCCUAUUUCACAACAAAGCAUCCUUCACUCAUGCUGCCAAACAUACCCUCGUAAAACUGACUAUCCUACUGAUCCUUGACUUCAGCGAUGUUAUUUACAAAAUAGCCUCCAACACUCUACUCAGCAAAUUGGAUACAGUCUAUCACAGUGCCAUCCGUUUCGUCACCAAAGCCCCAUAUACUACUGAUAAGAGAAUACUUCAAAAUGAGAAGAUCCUGCCAUGGAAAAGACGAGUGGGUGGACAUAAAGUGGAAAGGAGGGGAAAUAACUCACACCAUGCAGCAGGACACCUUCAGCUGUGGGGUCUUUGUAAUGCAGGUUCGAUAGUUAUAUUUUCAAUAAUGAAUGGUUAGCUGUUAUGUGACAGUUAGGUCAAAAACUCUAUUUUAUUUUUUGGUGUAGAUGGCCAAGGAAGUCACACAGAACUUCCCCAACAUCCCCUCCCAAAUUCAUAUGGAACCUUCAAAACCAUAUGGAGCAACUGCGAAAAGAAAUGGCUGAGGAUAUACUAAAAAUGUCUGAGUUCAACAAAGCCAACAACUGAUUCAUGUGUGCCACUGAUAAAGAACCUGUCUGUGGCCCAAAGGCUGACUGGACAAAAGAGUUCAACAGAGUAAAGAACACAACCUGGAAGUGCAGUCUUUGUUGUUGAAAAUGUAUGUUAUACCCCAUCCACACUGAAGAGGCUCUGAAAUGUACAUCAACCAGGGAUAAAGAGAAAGUUAACACUGAAAUGUUUCAUACUUAAUUGAAGUUAAGUGUCUGUUGACAUGUUGGAAAAGAUUAAAGGUCUACAAUUUCUAUUUCAUUUGUCAAUAUUACAUUUUUAUUCAUUGAUUUACUGGCCACUAUUACUGUGGUUACAUGUUCAGUAUAUGUAUUGACCAGCAAACCCACUGCAGCCUACCUCACUAGUUCACUCUCCAUCCCUGCUGUGGACAAUAACAUGACUCUCG
Molecule: long non-coding RNA, 2993 nt
Filed under: Salmo salar (Atlantic salmon)
Lineage: Eukaryota; Metazoa; Chordata; Actinopteri; Salmoniformes; Salmonidae
Description: lncRNA (ENSSSAG00000093592.1)
Source: RNAcentral